Molecule: ribosomal RNA, 372 nt
Filed under: uncultured bacterium
Lineage: Bacteria
Description: bacterial SSU rRNA
Rfam family: Bacterial small subunit ribosomal RNA
Source: RNAcentral
GAACCAAGCAAACGUUGUUCGGAAUCACUGGGCUUAAAGGGCGCGUAGGCGGUCGAUCAAGUCCGGGGUGAAAUCUUUCGGCUCAACCGGAAAAGUGCCUUGGAUACUGAUUGGCUCGAAGUAGGUAGGGGUUGCGGGAACGACCAGUGGAGCGGUGAAAUGCGUUGAUAUUGGUCGGAACGCCGGUGGCGAAAGCGCGCAACUGGACCUCUCUUGACGCUGAGGCGCGAAAGCUAGGGUAGCGAACGGGAUUAGAUACCCCGGUAGUCCUAGCCCUAAACGAUGGGCACUAGAUUGUGAGCGUGACAUGCGCCCUCAAUCGAAGCAAAAGUGGUUAGUGCCCCGCCUGGGGAGUAUGGUCGCAAGGCUGAA